RNAcentral lists this ribosomal RNA (402 nucleotides) under uncultured bacterium. Its description in RNAcentral is "bacterial SSU rRNA". It matches the Rfam family "Bacterial small subunit ribosomal RNA", at positions 355 to 774 of the family's 1533-position model. The record is from RNAcentral.
UGGGGGAUAUUGCACAAUGGAGGAAACUCUGAUGCAGCGACGCCGCGUGAGUGAAGAAGUAUUUCGGUAUGUAAAGCUCUAUCAGCAGGGAAGAAAAUGACGGUACCUGACUAAGAAGCCCCGGCUAACUACGUGCCAGCAGCCGCGGUAAUACGUAGGGGGCAAGCGUUAUCCGGAUUUACUGGGUGUAAAGGGAGCGUAGACGGCGACGCAAGUCUGAAGUGAAAUACCCGGGCUCAACCUGGGAACUGCUUUGGAAACUGUGUUGCUAGAGUGCUGGAGAGGUAAGCGGAAUUCCUAGUGUAGCGGUGAAAUGCGUAGAUAUUAGGAAGAACACCAGUGGCGAAGGCGGCUUACUGGACAGUAACUGACGUUGAGGCUCGAAAGCGUGGGGAGCAAACA